Molecule: long non-coding RNA, 239 nt
Filed under: Elaeis guineensis (African oil palm)
Lineage: Eukaryota; Viridiplantae; Streptophyta; Magnoliopsida; Arecales; Arecaceae
Description: long non-coding RNA (EGUI_LNC011840)
Source: RNAcentral
GUCGAUACGUAUAUUGAUCGAUUGAUCGUCAGUCAGACACCACAUUUGUAGAUAGUCAGAUAUUCGAUUGAAAGUAGAAAGUUUGAAUAUACUAUUAUAUAUAGACAACUUCAUUGAUAGUAUAUUCGAAGAUUAUCGAUAUUCCAUGUUAGAAGAAUAGUCGUUUCAUCGAGGGUCUUUUGUCGGUAUGCACCUGAAUGAAGUGUUUCGAUCAUCCUGUAGGGGCCUUCUCAGUUUGG